Molecule: ribosomal RNA, 253 nt
Filed under: uncultured bacterium
Lineage: Bacteria
Description: partial 16S ribosomal RNA
Rfam family: Bacterial small subunit ribosomal RNA
Source: RNAcentral
CACGUAGGGCGCAAGCGUUGUCCGGAAUUAUUGGGCGUAAAGAGCUCGUAGGCGGUCCGUCACGUCCGCUGUGAAAACCCAGGGCUCAACCCUGGGCUUGCAGUGGAUACGGGCAGACUAGAGGUAGGUAGGGGAGAAUGGAAUUCCCGGUGUAGCGGUGAAAUGCGCAGAUAUCAGGAGGAACACCUAUGGCGAAGGCAGCUCGCUGGGACGGUACUGACGCUGAGGCGCGAAAGCGUGGGGAGCGAACAGG